GACGAACGCUGGCGGCGUGCCUAAUACAUGCAAGUUGAGCGCUGAAGGUUGGUACUUGUACCAACUGGAUGAGCAGCGAACGGGUGAGUAACGCGUGGGGAAUCUGCCUUUGAGCGGGGGACAACAUUUGGAAACGAAUGCUAAUACCGCAUAAAAACUUUAAACACAAGUUUUAAGUUUGAAAGAUGCAAUUGCAUCACUCAAAGAUGAUCCCGCGUUGUAUUAGCUAGUUGGUGAGGUAAAGGCUCACCAAAGCGAAGAUACAUAGCCGACCUGAGAGGGUGAGCGGCCCCAUUGGGCAUGAGACACGGCCCAAACUCCUACGGGAGGCAGCAGUAGGGAAUCUUCGGCAAUGGACGAAAGUCUGACCGAGCAACGCCGCGUGAGUGAAGAAGGUUUUCGGAUCGUAAAACUCUGUUGGUAGAGAAGAACGUUGGUGAGAGUGGAAAGCUCAUCAAGUGACGGUAACUACCCAGAAAGGGACGGCUAACUACGUG
RNAcentral lists this ribosomal RNA (497 nucleotides) under uncultured bacterium. RNAcentral's name for it is "partial 16S ribosomal RNA". It matches the Rfam family "Bacterial small subunit ribosomal RNA", at positions 28 to 507 of the family's 1533-position model. The record is from RNAcentral.